RNAcentral lists this ribosomal RNA (430 nucleotides) under uncultured bacterium. RNAcentral's name for it is "partial 16S ribosomal RNA". It matches the Rfam family "Bacterial small subunit ribosomal RNA", at positions 354 to 796 of the family's 1533-position model. The record is from RNAcentral.
GUGGGGAAUAUUGCACAAUGGGCGCAAGCCUGAUGCAGUAACGCCGCGUGAGGGACGACGGCCUUCGGGUUGUAAACCUCUUUUAGCAGGGAAGAAGCGAAAGUGACGGUACCUGCAGAAAAAGCACCGGCUAACUACGUGCCAGCAGCCGCGGUAAUACGUAGGGUGCAAGCGUUGUCCGGAAUUAUUGGGCGUAAAGAGCUCGUAGGCGGUUUGUCGCGUCUGCUGUGAAAACCCGAGGCUCAACCUCGGGCCUGCAGUGGGUACGGGCAGACUAGAGUGCGGUAGGGGAGAUUGGAAUUCCUGGUGUAGCGGUGGAAUGCGCAGAUAUCAGGAGGAACACCGAUGGCGAAGGCAGAUCUCUGGGCCGUAACUGACGCUGAGGAGCGAAAGCGUGGGGAGCGAACAGGAUUAGAUACCCGUGUAGUCC